This is a long non-coding RNA of Pomacea canaliculata, 266 nucleotides long. RefSeq lists it as uncharacterized. The transcript is spliced from 3 exons. Lineage: Eukaryota; Metazoa; Mollusca; Gastropoda; Architaenioglossa; Ampullariidae. The record is from RefSeq and is a predicted model, not a curated record.
GGGAGAGGAAGUGUCGCUCAUUGUUAGGAUUUGAACUCAAGUGAUCGGUGCUAUUUCAUACCAGUAAAUGCCACAUGAACAAAGGGUUCACUUAAGAAUAUGACUUGUGGAAGUCAAAACGUAUGAGAAAGACAAGCCUCACUUCAUCCUGUAGGAUGAAGCACAUAAGAAAACUUUAACAGGCUAAGAUUCAACAACAACUCACGAGUCAGUCUUGGGAUCAUAUAUUUCCACUGAGUGAAGUGAUGACACACCAUCGUAGCCUC